Molecule: transfer RNA, 71 nt
Filed under: Urocitellus parryii (Arctic ground squirrel)
Lineage: Eukaryota; Metazoa; Chordata; Mammalia; Rodentia; Sciuridae
Also listed under: 2 other names
Description: Spermophilus parryii (Arctic ground squirrel) tRNA
Rfam family: tRNA
About the family: Transfer RNA (tRNA) molecules are approximately 80 nucleotides in length. Their secondary structure includes four short double-helical elements and three loops (D, anti-codon, and T loops).
Source: Rfam by way of RNAcentral
GUGGUUGUAGCUUAGUGGUAGAGCACUUGCCUAGCAUGUCUAAGGCACUGGGUUCGAUCCUCAGCACCACA